GGGUCAGUGGGUGGGUCGUGCCACCGGUACGUACUGGUCUCACUGAUUCCUCCUUCCUGAAGAACCGUAAUGCCAUUAAUUUGGUGUUGCGGGGAAGCAGGACUGUUACUUUGAAAAAAUUAGAGUGUUUAAAGCAAGCUAACGCUUGAAUACAUUAGCAUGGAAUAAUGAAAUAGGACGAUCGAUCCUAUUUUGUUGGUUUCUAGGAUUGACGUA
This 216-nucleotide ribosomal RNA is filed under the name Glomeromycotina sp. RNAcentral's name for it is "partial small subunit ribosomal RNA". The stretch from base 40 to 216 matches the Rfam family "Eukaryotic small subunit ribosomal RNA", at positions 686 to 864 of the family's 1831-position model. Lineage: Eukaryota; Fungi; Glomeromycota. The record is from RNAcentral.